This 301-nucleotide ribosomal RNA is filed under the name uncultured bacterium. RNAcentral describes it as "partial 16S ribosomal RNA". It matches the Rfam family "Bacterial small subunit ribosomal RNA", at positions 509 to 808 of the family's 1533-position model. The record is from RNAcentral.
CAGUAGCCACGGGAAUACGGAGGGUGCAAGCGUUAAUCGGAAUUACUGGGCGUAAAGCGCACGCAGGCGGUUUGUUAAGUCAGAUGUGAAAUCCCCGAGCUUAACUUGGGAACUGCAUUUGAAACUGGCAAGCUAGAGUCUUGUAGAGGGGGGUAGAAUUCCAGGUGUAGCGGUGAAAUGCGUAGAGAUCUGGAGGAAUACCGGUGGCGAAGGCGGCCCCCUGGACAAAGACUGACGCUCAGGUGCGAAAGCGUGGGGAGCAAACAGGAUUAGAUACCCCGGUAGUCCCUGUCUCUAUACC